UACACGACUCUCGGCAACGGAUAUCUCGGCUCUCGCAUCGAUGAAGAACGUAGCGAAAUGCGAUACCUGGUGUGAAUUGCAGAAUCCCGCGAACCAUCGAGUCUUUGAACGCAAGUUGCGCCCGAGGCCACUCGGCCGAGGGCACGCCUGCCUGGGCGUCACGA
RNAcentral lists this ribosomal RNA (164 nucleotides) under Leymus cinereus. Its description in RNAcentral is "5.8S ribosomal RNA". It matches the Rfam family "5.8S ribosomal RNA". From Rfam's summary of the family: 5.8S ribosomal RNA (5.8S rRNA) is a component of the large subunit of the eukaryotic ribosome. It is transcribed by RNA polymerase I as part of the 45S precursor that also contains 18S and 28S rRNA. The record is from RNAcentral. Lineage: Eukaryota; Viridiplantae; Streptophyta; Magnoliopsida; Poales; Poaceae.